RNAcentral lists this long non-coding RNA (483 nucleotides) under Equus caballus (horse). Its description in RNAcentral is "lncRNA (ENSECAG00000047890.1)". Lineage: Eukaryota; Metazoa; Chordata; Mammalia; Perissodactyla; Equidae. The record is from RNAcentral.
AUUAUCCCGUGUUUACAACCCUUCCAGAAAAACAAAAGCCUGCCCAGCAGGCCCUCUCUGCUGCGCAGGCAGGAGUGGCAGUUCUCCUUUCUGAGCACGGAGAGGAAGCCUCGCAGCCUGGCCUGGGCCUGGGCAGUGACUGGGGCAGCCUCCGCCUGCCUAGAAGGGCGGUGAGGAGAGAAGGAAGAGAUGUUGGUUCUGCUUAACGCUCAUUAAUUGUCUCGUCAAAUGGAUCCAACAACCUUUCCAUCCAGGCGCUAUUAACCCAUUUAACAGGUGAGAAAACAGAGGCUCUGAGAGGCUCUGGUCUAAGGUGAGGGGCUUAGUGGACUGUGUUUGCUCCUGAGCUCAGGCACGUGGAGAAUAUUAAUGGUAUAAUAAUUCCCACCAUGACACUUGGCGAACACCCAUGAUGUUCAGCUCUUGACACCCAGGACCCUGUUUAAUCCUCCUGGCCAUGGGCGUUUGCACUGUGGUCUCCAG